This is a long non-coding RNA of Triticum aestivum (bread wheat), 1259 nucleotides long. RefSeq lists it as uncharacterized. Lineage: Eukaryota; Viridiplantae; Streptophyta; Magnoliopsida; Poales; Poaceae. The record is from RefSeq and is a predicted model, not a curated record. The transcript is spliced from 2 exons.
CAACCCUAUCCUCUCCAGACGAGAUCUGAAGCCGCCGGGCAGCAGGGCUCCCCCAAGUACCAGGAGAAGAUAUGUUUGCAGCCUGUGCUCAUCUAUUAAAGCUUGAUACCAGCUUUCAUAGAUCCGGAUGGUUUUGAAGUGAUAGCUGGCUUGACUUUGCUUUUCUUCAAAGCAUCUUGACAGACCAAAAUCCGUAAUUUUUGGCACCAUGUUUUCGUCUAGCAAUAUAUUUGCAGGUUUUAGGUCUAAGUGAAAAGUAUCGAUCUCUGUGAAUAUAUUGUAAACCUUCACAAAUUCCCUUGAUUAUUUCAUAGCGCUAUUUUAAAAUAAAUGAUUUGUAUUGGAAAAACCAAGUUGUCCAAUAUACAUAUUCAUGACUUGAAAAAGUAAAAAAAUACAGUCAUUGUAUAUUGUGUUUGACUUAGAAAGAAAGAUGAAAAAGUUAAACAAAAAGAUGUGAAGGCAGAUGAAUGCUUUGCUUAUGCAUGAAUUCAUAUUGAUAAAGCGCUAUUGAAUGAUCAAGGAAUUUGUGAGGUUUACAUUAUCUUUGCAAGAGUUGUAUUGUUCAGUUAGACCUAGACAUGCAAGUAUAUUUCUAGGCGAAAAUAUAUUGUUAAAAAUUGCGGAUUUUUGUCUCUCAAGUUGCUUGGAGGAAAAACAAAGCCAGGCUAUCGCUUCAAAACAGUUUGGAUCUAUGUAUGAAAGAAGGGACAUUGAUGAACUGGGUUGGAUUUACUUUGACUUGCAAACUUGUUUGCAUGUUAACAUCAGGUAUGAUAGUAGAAACACAUAGCAUGCACAUCAGUCAAUAGGCUUGGCAAAACGGCUCACUUAUGCUCCAUGACAUGCUCCACUAACCUCUUUUUUUUAGCUAGUGUACAUCUUUAGGUACUUUGAGCUGGUGGAGGAGGUCAAGUGUCAUCAGUUGUCCAAGAGAAAUGUUCCAAUGAGCUACUAAAUAUUUGGAGGAAGCCUUUAUAGUUUCUUGCACAAAGAGUGUAAUGUGUUGGACCUCAUCAUGUAUUAAGUAUUAUUUUGGAGGAUAUACUAUGCUCUCUGUUUUGUUAUAUCGUGCAUGCACAUUAUAAAGUAGAGUGUGGCGCAAUAUAUAGAUCAUAAUUGUUGUUAAGGUGCUGAAUUCCAUUUAGCUUAGUAGUGGAUGCUAUGAUAGCUGAGACUGGGAUUUAUGCUGGGUCUGACCAUCUGAAUUCAGUUGUUUGUAAAAUGUUCCAUACUCGCAAUAUUAUAUACUCAUGACA